RNAcentral lists this ribosomal RNA (438 nucleotides) under uncultured bacterium. Its description in RNAcentral is "partial 16S ribosomal RNA". It matches the Rfam family "Bacterial small subunit ribosomal RNA", at positions 339 to 795 of the family's 1533-position model. The record is from RNAcentral.
CUACGGGGGGCUGCAGUGGGGAAUAUUGCACAAUGGGGGGAACCCUGAUGCAGCAACGCCGCGUGGAGAAUGAAGCAUUUCGGAGUGUGAACUCCUUUUAUAUGUCAAGAAAAUGACGGUAGCAUAUGAAUAAGCACCGGCUAACUCCGUGCCAGCAGCCGCGGUAAUACGGAGGGUGCAAGCGUUACUCGGAAUCACUGGGCGUAAAGGACGCGUAGGCGGGUUGGAAAGUCAGGUGUGAAAUCCUAAGCUUAACUGUAGAAAUGCACUUGAAACUUCUAAUCUAGAGUAUGGGAGGGGGAGAUGGAAUUAGUGGUGUAGGGGUAAAAUCCGUAGAUAACCACAGGAAUAUCCAAAGUGAUGGCGACGGCAGCGUCAGAUAUGGAUAAGAAGGAGCGUACGCGGGGGUCGAAACCAGGAUUAGAUACCCUUGUAGUC